RNAcentral lists this transfer RNA (77 nucleotides) under Citrobacter phage Merlin. RNAcentral describes it as "tRNA-Met". It matches the Rfam family "tRNA". From Rfam's summary of the family: Transfer RNA (tRNA) molecules are approximately 80 nucleotides in length. Their secondary structure includes four short double-helical elements and three loops (D, anti-codon, and T loops). Further hydrogen bonds mediate the characteristic L-shaped molecular structure. tRNAs have two regions of fundamental functional importance: the anti-codon, which is responsible for specific mRNA codon recognition, and the 3' end, to which the tRNAs corresponding amino acid is attached (by aminoacyl-tRNA synthetases). tRNAs cope with the degeneracy of the genetic code in two manners: having more than one tRNA (with a specific anti-codon) for a particular amino acid; and 'wobble' base-pairing, i.e. permitting non-standard base-pairing at the 3rd anti-codon position. The record is from RNAcentral. Lineage: Duplodnaviria; Heunggongvirae; Uroviricota; Caudoviricetes; Pantevenvirales; Straboviridae.
GGCCCCUUAGCUCAGUUGGUUAGAGCAGUCGACUCAUAAUCGAUUGGUCGCUGGUUCGAGUCCAGCAGGGGCCACCA